AAACCAUGAGAGUCACCAACACCCAAAGUCCGCUUCGGCGGCCUAAGGUGGGGGAGAUGAUUGGGGUUAAGUCGUAACAAGGCAUCCGUACGAGAACGUGUGGAUGGAUUACCUCCUUU
Molecule: ribosomal RNA, 119 nt
Filed under: Lachnospiraceae bacterium
Lineage: Bacteria; Bacillati; Bacillota; Clostridia; Lachnospirales; Lachnospiraceae
Description: partial 16S ribosomal RNA
Rfam family: Bacterial small subunit ribosomal RNA
Source: RNAcentral